GAAGGGUAAAGGGCAAGAUGUGUGUCGUAGUUAACGCGUUAAACAGGGCGCCUGGGAAGUACGGCCGCAAGGCUAAAACCCAAAGGAAUUGACGGGGACCCGCACAAGCAGUGGAGCGCCUGGUUUAAUUCGAUGAUCAGCGAAGAACCUCACCUAGGCUUGAACUGUAGCUGCAAGCUCCCAGAAACGGGAGAAUCCUUCGAGGGUGCUACAGAGGUGCUGCAUGGCUGUCGUCAGCUCGUGUCGUGAGAUGUAGGGUUAAGUCCCACAACGAGCGCAACCCCUAUUCAGUGUUAUAAUUACUCUGAAGACUGCCCUGUCCAAACGGGGAGGAAGGAGGGGACGACGUCCAGUCAUCAUGUCCCUUAUGUCUAGGGCUACACAGACGCUACAAUGGCCGGUACAAUGGGUUGCCAAACCGCGAGGUGGAGCCAAUCCCAUCAAAGCCGGUCCCAGUUCAGAUUGCAGUCUGCAACUCGACUGCAUGAAGUCGGAAUUGCUAGUAAUCGCGAAUCAGCACGUCGCGGUGAAUACGUUCUCGGGUCUUGUACACACCGCCCGUCAGGGCACGGGAGUCGCUCUUGCUCGAAGUUCCCGAAUAAUUCGGGACCGAAAGUUAAGGGUGGCAACCAGGCUUAAGUCGUAACAAGGUAGCCGUAGA
Molecule: ribosomal RNA, 661 nt
Filed under: uncultured bacterium
Lineage: Bacteria
Description: bacterial SSU rRNA
Rfam family: Bacterial small subunit ribosomal RNA
Source: RNAcentral